RNAcentral lists this small RNA (28 nucleotides) under Bombyx mori (domestic silkworm). RNAcentral's name for it is "ovarian small RNA-36061". Lineage: Eukaryota; Metazoa; Arthropoda; Insecta; Lepidoptera; Bombycidae. The record is from RNAcentral.
UGUUAUGGAUGGUUUCAAGAAACAGAUC